CAUGCAAGUCGAACGAGCGAGAGAGAGCUUGCUUUCUCAAGCGAGUGGCGAACGGGUGAGUAACGCGUGAGGAACCUGCCUCAAAGAGGGGGACAACAGUUGGAAACGACUGCUAAUACCGCAUAAGCCCACGGGUCGGCAUCGACCAGAGGGAAAAGGAGCAAUCCGCUUUGAGAUGGCCUCGCGUCCGAUUAGCUAGUUGGUGAGGUAAUGGCCCACCAAGGCAACGAUCGGUAGCCGGACUGAGAGGUUGAACGGCCACAUUGGGACUGAGACACGGCCCAGACUCCUACGGGAGGCAGCAGUGGGGAAUAUUGCACAAUGGGGGAAACCCUGAUGCAGCGACGCCGCGUGGAGGAAGAAGGUCUUCGGAUUGUAAACUCCUGUUGUUGAGGAAGAUAAUGACGGUACUCAACAAGGAAGUGACGGCUGACUACGUGCCAGCAGCCGCGGUAAAACGUAGGUCACAAGCGUUGUCCGGAAUUACUGGGUGUAAAGGGAGCGCAGGCGGGAAGACAGGUUGGAAGUGAAAUCUAUGGGUUCAACCCAUAAACUGCUUUCAAAACUGUUUUUCUUGAGUAGUGCAGAGGUAGGCGGAAUUCCCGGUGUAGCGGUGGAAUGCGUAGAUAUCGGGAGGAACACCA
RNAcentral lists this ribosomal RNA (644 nucleotides) under uncultured bacterium. RNAcentral describes it as "bacterial SSU rRNA". It matches the Rfam family "Bacterial small subunit ribosomal RNA", at positions 54 to 711 of the family's 1533-position model. The record is from RNAcentral.